This 577-nucleotide long non-coding RNA is filed under the name Carica papaya (papaya). RNAcentral describes it as "long non-coding RNA (CPAP_LNC000993)". The record is from RNAcentral. Lineage: Eukaryota; Viridiplantae; Streptophyta; Magnoliopsida; Brassicales; Caricaceae.
UGCAUCAUAUGAUUUAUUUACAUACAUUUACACGAUGAUUAUUAUUAAAUAGGGAAGUUGUGAGUAAAUACUAAAUCAGUGAAGGCUGUUGAAGGUAAGAGUCAUUUAGUUAAAUCAAAUUUGGUGAUCAGCAGAAUAUAUUUUAGAAAUGACCAGAUCUGAAGGGCUUGAGUUGGGAGAACCGAAUAAGAUAAUCGGGUGCGGAGAGAAUGAAUGGAUACUGAGAAAUGGAGAAGGACAAGAAAAAGUAGGUUAUGAUAUGGAGAAAUCGAGGAAAAAGGAAAUGGCAGGCUUGGAUCCAACAUAGAGACGAAAGAAAACACAAUUUGCAACCCUUAUACAUAAACUGAGUAAAAAAAAGGUAAAACAGAAUAGAAAACCAUCAGACUUGAAUAGAGGAGAAUUGAUGACAAGGGAUAGCAAAUAUAUUGAAUGUAUCAGAGUUUAGUGUGAGGAAAUAUGAGCAGGCAUGUAGGGGAACUGAGCCUAAGCUAGAGAAAUAAAACCUGAAUAAUUGGUUGGUUAUUUCUAGUGUGCAGGAUAACUGCGUGUGAGUGUGUGGCUGACUAAUGGCUGG